GGACUACCCGGGUAUCUAAUCCUGUUUGAUCCCCUUGCUUUCGCGCCUCAGCGUCAGGAAUAAGAUAGAAAACCGCCUUCGCCACCGGUGUUCUUCCACAUAUCUACGCAUUUCACCGCUACUUGUGGAAUUCCAUUUUCUCCUCCUACCCUCUAGAAAAACAGUCUCAAAUGCAGCACCGAAGUUGAGCCCCGGUAUUUCACAUCUGACUUGAUUUUCCGCCUACGCGCCCUUUACGCCCAAUAAUUCCGAUUAAUGCUUGCACCCUCCGUAUUACCGCGGCUGCUGGCAC
This 292-nucleotide ribosomal RNA is filed under the name uncultured bacterium. Its description in RNAcentral is "partial 16S ribosomal RNA". The record is from RNAcentral.